This 255-nucleotide long non-coding RNA is filed under the name Nicotiana benthamiana. RNAcentral describes it as "long non-coding RNA (NBEN_LNC039799)". The record is from RNAcentral. Lineage: Eukaryota; Viridiplantae; Streptophyta; Magnoliopsida; Solanales; Solanaceae.
UUAUUACUUACGCAAUUCCACCAGUGUAUAAUACAUCCAACAUUCUCAAUAUUAAACGCUUUUGGCAAGCCAGAGCAAGACUUCUCUGUGGGAACCCCCCGGUAAAGGAUACAUGUCUAGUCAAAUAGGCUUCUAAUAAGAAAUUAGUUCAUUCAUUACUUAUGCAAUGACUUUCUUUUUCGUAGCGUCAACAUUACCUUUAUAUCUCCCUCGUCUAGUCAAGAUUCCCUAAGAGAAAGGGAUCAAAUCCGUAGU